UUCAUUUCGGUAUUCAUUCAUGACAAGGCGGUGAAAAAAAUACAACGACGACGGGCAGUAAGUUCAUUUUUUCACUAUCAUUUUUAAUUUUGCUUCAAUACUCAGCUUAAACAAAUUGGUAAAAUCGUUUUUAUUAAAUCUACGCUACAAAAGUGACGCGCAAAAGAAAUACAGUAAUAGCUACUGACGCACAAAGUUCACAAGAACAGCUAAAUUAUUCGUAAAAUAUGGAGAACCCAAAUGAUUUACCCGCACCAUCUGGAUCGACUGAUUUUCCUGUUUUACCCCCGCCUCCAAACUCAACCACUCCCAGCAAUAACAAUCAAUCACAGAAGCGCUUACAACAAACUCAAGCCAAGGUCGAUGAAGUGGUCGGUAUUAUGCGAGUCAAUGUAGAGAAAGUCUUGGAACGUGAUCAGAAACUAUCGGAAUUGGGCGAGCGAGCUGAUGCAUUGGAAGCUGGUGCAUCACAGUUUGAGCAACAAGCCGGUAAAUUGAAACGCAAGCAGUGGUGGGCCAAUAUGAAAAUGAUGAUCAUUAUGGGUGUGAUCGGUGUGGUGCUCUUAAUUAUCAUAAUUGUUUUGCUCUUUAAUUAAUUGGUACCAAUUUUCGAAGCCUUUUUGAUCAGCAUUUUAAGUGCUAUGCAUAAAACUAUAUUCGUUAUAAGUGUGUGUGUGUGUGUAGUGCUUGUAUUUUCCAUAGAUUUUAGUAAAAACAAAUAUGCGUCAAUUUUGUUUAAGUAGGAAAACGUUGAGGUUUGCGUUGACACACCACGUCCGUUAGCCAUUUUCUAUAAAGUUUUCCUUCCUGCCAUCCAGCGGCAGCAGCCCAAACACGCACAAUGAAGUCCAAAACGGUUCUUCUUCACCUUAAACAAGCUCAAAUGAUUGCAGUGGCCUUACGGUUCAUGAUUGUUUUGUUUGAACGCCGUCGAAAUCGUGAUUUACAAGCACAAAAUGCCAGAACACAAUCAAUAUGUAUUGAACCGAAUUUUUU
Rhagoletis zephyria (snowberry fruit fly) is the source of this 996-nucleotide RNA transcript. It is a transcript of the gene named Vesicle-associated membrane protein synaptobrevin, with no coding region annotated. Lineage: Eukaryota; Metazoa; Arthropoda; Insecta; Diptera; Tephritidae. The record is from RefSeq and is a predicted model, not a curated record.